AGCGCCGCGGGGGGCGGCGGGAGCUGUAGUCCCCGGCGGCGGGGCCCCUCGCGGCGCGCCUGCGCGCAGAACGCCCGGCCCCGGCGGUGCCGAGCCGCGGGGGGCGGCGGGGGCGGCGGGGGCGGCGCCGCGUGAGCGCGGAGCAGCAGUUCAGCCCGCCGCCCUCGGAAGCUGGCGUCAAAAUCAGUCCUUUUCCCAGCAAAGCGUUUCGGCCGGUACAGCCGCCAGCGGGGACAGCGGCCCGGCCGCCAUUGCGCUGCAUAUAGACAGCACAGCGCUGAAUUCCCGUGUGCUCACAGCAUCUGCGUUUGUACCGGGCAGAACGGAAUCCGGGCUUCCCCACGAAGGCCUCCCUCCCUCCCUGCCGCGGCCGGGCAGCCAGCUGCAGAGCUGUGGCACGGGCUCAGAAAUCUGAACACGCUUAUUUAGGUAACCCUCUAUUUCUUAGUGGUUUGCCUGGGAAAAACAGUUCCUUGUCAAAAACAAGCCUGUCACCAAAAUAAUGCUUCGGUGGUACUGCUCACACCACACUUAACACCAUGAUUUCUAAGUAUUUGAUGUAUCUUCUACUUAAGAACAAAGAUAAAACUUUGGACAGACUUUUGUGGCCCUUCCACAACGAAGCAAUGCUGCACCAAACGGCCUGCGCGCACCUGAGCCCAGCAACGCUGGCUCUCGGGUAGCUACGGCCAGUAACGUGCUGCAAACCACCACAUUCGGCUUCUCCUGUUCACAUGCACUAGAGCUGCCAGCCUCAUUUCUAGCUUUCCUAUUUCCCAAGGCUGCGAGCAACGUCAGAGGAUCUCACAGGCGACAUACUGCCCAGGAGCUUCAGAUCGGAGACCCACGUCUACAGAAAGGCUUCACCAGCUGCCUUUAGCUGAACAGCUCAAAUACUCUCUACAAGCUACUUGUCUAUAUAUUUUCAUAUUAACAGUCUUCCAUAAAUGUAAUUUUUGAGGUUGAGUUUUAAAAUGUGUAUCUGUAGUUUGAUAUUGUAAUAUCAAAUUUGUAGUGUAUUCUAGUGUAUAUUACCUUUCAGGAAUGCUAAAGCUUAAAAACUAAAAGAAAUAACAUUACUUUAAGAGUAUCAGCAGAUGAAAGAAAUACAAAGCUAACAUAAAGAAUACUGAACUUCAUCCUAAAUGCACUGACACUACUGGAAAACAAAGGAAAAGAAGCAGUUUCACCCGAAUGAUUCAUUAAGGGAUUGCCAUCCUGCAAGGCCUGAAACGCCAAUGUUCUUUUCAGCUCCCUGUAGGCUUUCCCUCACCCCUGUGCAAGAACGGCCCUUCGGCACCUACUGACGCAGGAACAGCCCCUGCCAGUCCGUCUGGCGGGGCGGCUGGCUCAGCAGCUACCCUGCGCGCGGGCAGGGGUCAGCUGUGGCCUUAGCAGAUGCCAAGGGCAGGACAUGCACCCCUCUGAUUUUUUUCCCUAUGUGCAAGAUUCGCAAGUACCCUCUAGCUGGGACUGCCCCCACCCAAGUAACUUCAGUCAUGAUAAACCUUGAGAAAACAAGGGCUGUUAUGUUCUUAAUCAUGUAUUACUCAGUUUGGUGGUGUUCCUGACCAGCAUAUGUUUGUGUCACAAAUCAUGAAAAAAGAUCCAGUGACAAAUCUGAUGUAAAACUGUACAAGCUGGGUUCAAUAAAAGCUUGUCAUAAAUGCUAAUCAAGCUUCGAGUUAAUUGUAUUAAAAUCUAAAUUCAUAACAUA
Dromaius novaehollandiae (emu) is the source of this 1717-nucleotide long non-coding RNA. RefSeq lists it as uncharacterized. The transcript has 2 exons. Lineage: Eukaryota; Metazoa; Chordata; Aves; Casuariiformes; Dromaiidae. The record is from RefSeq and is a predicted model, not a curated record.